GACGAACGCUGGCGGCGUGCCUAAUACAUGCAAGUAGAACGCUGAAGGAGGAGCUUGCUUCUCUGGAUGAGUUGCGAACGGGUGAGUAACGCGUAGGUAACCUGCCUGGUAGCGGGGGAUAACUAUUGGAAACGAUAGCUAAUACCGCAUAAUAGUAGAUGUUGCAUGACAUUUGCUUAAAAGGUGCAAUUGCAUCACUACCAGAUGGACCUGCGUUGUAUUAGCUAGUUGGUGAGGUAACGGCUCACCAAGGCGACGAUACAUAGCCGACCUGAGAGGGUGAUCGGCCACACUGGGACUGAGACACGGCCCAGACUCCUACGGGAGGCAGCAGUAGGGAAUCUUCGGCAAUGGACGGAAGUCUGACCGAGCAACGCCGCGUGAGUGAAGAAGGGUUUCGGAUCGUAAAGCUCUGUUGUAAGAGAAGAACGAGUGUGAGAGUGGAAAGUUCACACUGUGACGGUAGCUUACCAGAAAGAGACGGCUAACUACGUG
RNAcentral lists this ribosomal RNA (495 nucleotides) under uncultured bacterium. RNAcentral's name for it is "partial 16S ribosomal RNA". It matches the Rfam family "Bacterial small subunit ribosomal RNA", at positions 28 to 507 of the family's 1533-position model. The record is from RNAcentral.